Anaerolineae bacterium is the source of this 403-nucleotide non-coding RNA. It matches the Rfam family "transfer-messenger RNA". Rfam says of the family: Bacterial tmRNA, also known as 10Sa RNA or SsrA, is named for its dual tRNA and mRNA-like properties. Its role is to liberate the mRNA from a stalled ribosome. The record is from Rfam. Lineage: Bacteria; Bacillati; Chloroflexota; Anaerolineae.
GGGGAUGCCCUGGUUUCGACGGGGGAGGCUGGUCCCGAAUUGCGAGUCGAGAGGUGCCGAUCUCGAAAAAUCAGUACAAAAAAUUAAGUGCCAAUAAUCGCACUUCCUACGCUGCAAUGCCUCUCGCUGCAUAAGCUUGACGGCUGAGCCGCUAUGACCUUUUCAGGUCACGUUCACCUGCAUCGUUUUCCUGACCGAUCGCAGAGUGGGCGUCACAAAGUCAGGAUGCUGUCCAUGAUUUCACGGCAUGAUACAAAAGAGGACUUUCGGGUCUGAGUGAAUAAUCUGAGGAGGUUUUGUUCUUUUUUCCUUCUUAAGAUGAAAUCAAUAAACGAACUACACUCGUAGUAUAUUCGCGGGUCGAUUCUUUCGGACGCGGGUUCGACUCCCGCCAUCUCCACCA